AUACGGAGGGUGCAAGCGUUAUCCGGAAUCAUUGGGUUUAAAGGGUCCGUAGGCGGACUAUUAAGUCAGAGGUGAAAGCCCAUCGCUCAACGAUGGAACUGCCUUUGAUACUGGUUGACUUGAGUUAUACGGAAGUAGAUAGAAUAAGUAGUGUAGCGGUGAAAUGCACAGAUAUUACUUAGAAUACCGAUUGCGAAGGCAGUCUACUACGUAUAUACUGACGCUGAGGGACGAAAGCGUGGGGAGCGAACAGGAUUAGAAACCCGAGUAGUCC
RNAcentral lists this ribosomal RNA (274 nucleotides) under uncultured bacterium. RNAcentral describes it as "partial 16S ribosomal RNA". It matches the Rfam family "Bacterial small subunit ribosomal RNA", at positions 523 to 796 of the family's 1533-position model. The record is from RNAcentral.